Long non-coding RNA from Drosophila takahashii, 186 nucleotides. RefSeq lists it as uncharacterized. The record is from RefSeq and is a predicted model, not a curated record. Lineage: Eukaryota; Metazoa; Arthropoda; Insecta; Diptera; Drosophilidae.
UUUUCCAUUGUCCCUGGUGGAUGGAUAUGAGAUUCUUAAAAACUAUAAUUGUGCUUGGCUUAUCUUUAUUGUUUGUCGCCAAACAAAAGCAGAAAUGGUACAAUUUGCAUAAAGGCAUCCCAUAUCCCAUAAUAGGACCGACCAUUUAAGUUUAAACACUGCAAUAAACUUUAUUUGUAAUGUGAA